CCCCGCUUCUCACUCCUCCUCCCCCUCUCCUCACUCCUCCUCCUCUCCCUCCCUUCACUCCUCCUCCCCCUCCCUUCAUUCCUCCUCCCCCUUCUCCCUUCGUGGUCCCAGCCAGUAGCUCAGUUCCAGUGUUUAUUUAUCCAGAGUGAGGGGGUUGGGGAAGGACACAGUGGGAGGAGGUGGCCCUCUCUCCCUCACCCUGCUAUUUCAAAUUGGGUCACACCUUAAAUUGUGUGAAAGUACCUCCUCCUCCUCCUCCUAGGAGGACUGGAUAAUGUAGGAGGACUAUAAAAUGUAGGAGGACUAGAUAAUGUAGGAGGACUAGAUAAUGAAGGAGGACUAGAUAAUGUAGGGGGAUUAGAUAAUGUAGGGGGACUAGAUAAUGUAGGAGGACUAGAUAAUGUAGGAGGACUAGAUAAUGAAGGAGGACUAGGUCAUGAAGAACGACUAAAUAAAGUAGGAGGACUAGAUAAUGAAGAGGGACUAGGUCAAGUAGAAUGACUAAAUCAUGUAGGAGGACUAGAUAAUGUAGGAGGACUAGAUAAUGUAGGAAGACUAGAUAAUGUAGGAGGACUAGAUAAUGAAGAGGGACUAGGUCAAGUAGAAUGACUAAAUAAUGUAGGAGGACUAGAUAAUGAAGAGGGACUAGGUCAAGUAGAAUGACUAAAUAAUGUAGGAGGACUAGAUAAUGAAGAGGGACUAGGUCAAGUAGAAUGACUAAAUAAUGUAGGAGGACUAGAUAAUGAAGAGGGACUAGGUCAAGUAGAAUGACUAAAUAAUGUAGGAGGACUAGAUAAUGAAGGAGGACUAGGUCAAGUAGAAUAACUAAAUAAUGUAGGAGGACUAGAUAAUGUAGGAGGACUAGAUAAUGAAGGAGGACUAGGUCAUGUAGAACGACUAAAUAAAGUAGGAGGACUAGAUAAUGAAGAGGGACUAGGUCAAGUAGAAUGACUAGAUAAUGUAGGAGGACUAGAUAAUGUAGGAGGACUAGAUAAAUGCGGUGGCAACCUCCUAACUGUGUUUCCGGGGCAACAACUCAGGACUGAUGAGCAGCCAACACCCUUACAGUAGGGAUACAGACUGCAUGGCCACAGUGUAUUUGUAUGGCAGGGAGUAUGGAUUUCCCCAAUGCUGUAUACUGUGGAUCAUUUUUCAUUUCAAAUUCAUUAUUAAAGUGAUACUUUGCGAUUUUGGCAAUGAGGCCCUUUAUUUACUUCCCCACAGUCAGAUAAACAUGUGGAUACCAUUUUUAUGUCUCUGUGUCCAGUAUGAAGGAAGUUAGAGGUAGUUUCUUGAGCCGAUGUUAACUAGUGUUAGCGCAAUGACUGGAAGUCUAUGGGUAUCUACUAGCAUGCUAGCAAAUACCCAUAGACUUCCAGUAACUGUGCUAAUGCUAGGGAGCAUUGGCUGGCAAACCUAACUUCCUGGUAUUUUUUGCUCAGAAAACUUGGGGAGGCCAAAUAAAAACACCCGCAGCUGCCAGUUGGGGAACCCUGCCGGCAGGGUAGCCUAGUGGUUAAAGCGUUGGACUAGUAACCGAAAGGCUGCAAGUUCAAAUCCCCGAGCUGACAAGGUACAAAUCUGUCGUUCUGCUCCUGAACAAGCAGUGAACCCACUGUUCCUAGGCCGAAAAUAAGAAUUUGUUCUUAACUGACUUGCCUCGUUAAAUAAAGGUAAAAAUAAAAUAAAAAAUAAUAUACUAUAUAUUUCCAUAUUCAUCACAGGCAUCCUCUAUAAUGUGUUAUCCUGUGAGGAAUAGACCAGAUCAAAGUCAGCAGAGUACAUUCAUCACAAGUAGAGACAUAUAGCAUGCAACGGGGACAGCCCAGUAAUUGCAUUCAGGGGAUCAUAAAAUUGCAUGAAUUGCAUCAUCCUUGCUAUGAUGAGGCGGGGAGAGAUGCAUUGUGCUCCGGGUUUGGAUGUGCGGCUCGUUCCAUUGCAGGCUGAGUUAAUUAAAAAUCAACAGGGCAUUGUGAUGCAUCAACCCUACUGGACACAGGCGAGAGAGCAGGGGGAUUUCAGGCCUGGUUGAAAGUACUGCACUACCUAGGGAAUGUGGGACCAUUGAGAACGUAGGCUUGGUGUUUUGAUACGGAUGCCUACUCCCCCGCCCACUUGGUGAGACCUCAUUCAUUACCAACGCUCUCAUCUGUUUAAAGAAGGUGGACACACCCCAAGUUUAUGGUGGUUUACUCUGAGGAUUAUUUGAAGAGGGAAAGCUAAAAUAGAAUGUGUUUCUUUACUUGUUCAACAGUGGAGUCAUCUCCGCAGGAUGGAAAUAUAUUCCACACCACACAGGACCAUUGAAAACAAGCAGGCAUGGAGUGGACGACAUUGAUUAUUAUGGUCAUAUUUAUCCAAUCAAUACUCUCCGGAAGGAAGCUUCCCGUACGUAUUGUAAAGCUCUAAGAUCAGCUUCCCCUUCCCCAAUCCUAACCUUAAUCAUUAGUGGGAUUCAGCGCCUUGGGGCAAAUUCACCAUACUUCAACCAAUAAGGAUGUAUUGUUACUGCUCAUUGCGGUACUAUGUGGAUUAUCAUAUGAUACCCAUCCAAACCAAAGCAUACAUGUCUUUUACUAAAACCUUCUUUUUCUUCAACAACAAAAAGUAGAUGAAUAAAAGACUAGUCAUUUACCAUGCAUGCAGUGUUAGCCAGUUAUACAUCAAUGAGUCUAUAUCCCACGUAAACCACUGAAAUGUAUAUUUUGCCUGCAUAUAAAUAAAUGCAUUUCUAGUCAUUGACCAUACAGGGUGAGCCAUUUAUAGAUACAUUUAAUAUAUAUCCUAAAUAUACUGUAUCAAGUUGGUGUUUUCCAUUUUCGUUCAGGAUAUGCAGAGAGUCGGGCAGGCCUAAUGAGUUAGCUGGUGUCCCUCCUUUUCAGGAUAUGCAGAGAGUCGGCAGGCCUAAUGAGUUAGCUGGUGUCCCUCCUUUUCAGGAUAUGCAGAGAGUCGGGCAGGCCUAAUGAGUUAGCUGGUGUCCCUCCUUUUCAGGAUAUGCAGAGAGUCGGGCAGGCCUAAUGAGUUAGCUGGUGUCCCUCCUUUUCAGGAUAUGCAGAGAGUCGGGCAGGCCUAAUGAGUUAGCUGGUGUCCCUCCUUUUCAGGAUAUGCAGAGAGUCGGGCAGGCCUAAUGAGUUAGCUGGUGUCCCUCCUUUUCAGGAUAUGCAGAGAGUCGGGCAGGCCUAAUGAGUUAGCUGGUGUCCCUCCUUUUCAGGAUAUGCAGAGAGUCGGGCAGGCCUAAUGAGUUAGCUGGUGUUCCUCCUUUUCAGGAUAUGCAGAGUCGGGCAGGCCUAAUGAGUUAGCUGGUGUCCCUCCUUUUCAGGAUAUGCAGAGAGUCGGGCAGGCCUAAUGAGUUAGCUGGUGUCCCUCCUUUUCAGGAUAUGCAGAGAGUCGGGCAGGCCUAAUGAGUUAGCUGGUGUUCCUCCUUUUCAGGAUAUGCAGAGAGUCGG
Oncorhynchus keta (chum salmon) is the source of this 3446-nucleotide long non-coding RNA. RefSeq lists it as uncharacterized. The transcript has 3 exons. The record is from RefSeq and is a predicted model, not a curated record. NCBI's taxonomy places the organism in Eukaryota, Metazoa, Chordata, Actinopteri, Salmoniformes, Salmonidae.